Molecule: ribosomal RNA, 1552 nt
Filed under: Salmonella enterica subsp. enterica serovar Montevideo
Lineage: Bacteria; Pseudomonadati; Pseudomonadota; Gammaproteobacteria; Enterobacterales; Enterobacteriaceae
Description: bacterial SSU rRNA
Rfam family: Bacterial small subunit ribosomal RNA
Source: RNAcentral
AAAUUGAAGAGUUUGAUCAUGGCUCAGAUUGAACGCUGGCGGCAGGCCUAACACAUGCAAGUCGAACGGUAACAGGAAGCAGCUUGCUGCUUUGCUGACGAGUGGCGGACGGGUGAGUAAUGUCUGGGAAACUGCCUGAUGGAGGGGGAUAACUACUGGAAACGGUGGCUAAUACCGCAUAACGUCGCAAGACCAAAGAGGGGGACCUUCGGGCCUCUUGCCAUCAGAUGUGCCCAGAUGGGAUUAGCUUGUUGGUGAGGUAACGGCUCACCAAGGCGACGAUCCCUAGCUGGUCUGAGAGGAUGACCAGCCACACUGGAACUGAGACACGGUCCAGACUCCUACGGGAGGCAGCAGUGGGGAAUAUUGCACAAUGGGCGCAAGCCUGAUGCAGCCAUGCCGCGUGUAUGAAGAAGGCCUUCGGGUUGUAAAGUACUUUCAGCGGGGAGGAAGGUGUUGUGGUUAAUAACCGCAGCAAUUGACGUUACCCGCAGAAGAAGCACCGGCUAACUCCGUGCCAGCAGCCGCGGUAAUACGGAGGGUGCAAGCGUUAAUCGGAAUUACUGGGCGUAAAGCGCACGCAGGCGGUCUGUCAAGUCGGAUGUGAAAUCCCCGGGCUCAACCUGGGAACUGCAUUCGAAACUGGCAGGCUUGAGUCUUGUAGAGGGGGGUAGAAUUCCAGGUGUAGCGGUGAAAUGCGUAGAGAUCUGGAGGAAUACCGGUGGCGAAGGCGGCCCCCUGGACAAAGACUGACGCUCAGGUGCGAAAGCGUGGGGAGCAAACAGGAUUAGAUACCCUGGUAGUCCACGCCGUAAACGAUGUCUACUUGGAGGUUGUGCCCUUGAGGCGUGGCUUCCGGAGCUAACGCGUUAAGUAGACCGCCUGGGGAGUACGGCCGCAAGGUUAAAACUCAAAUGAAUUGACGGGGGCCCGCACAAGCGGUGGAGCAUGUGGUUUAAUUCGAUGCAACGCGAAGAACCUUACCUGGUCUUGACAUCCACGGAACUUUCCAGAGAUGGAUUGGUGCCUUCGGGAACCGUGAGACAGGUGCUGCAUGGCUGUCGUCAGCUCGUGUUGUGAAAUGUUGGGUUAAGUCCCGCAACGAGCGCAACCCUUAUCCUUUGUUGCCAGCGGUCCGGCCGGGAACUCAAAGGAGACUGCCAGUGAUAAACUGGAGGAAGGUGGGGAUGACGUCAAGUCAUCAUGGCCCUUACGACCAGGGCUACACACGUGCUACAAUGGCGCAUACAAAGAGAAGCGACCUCGCGAGAGCAAGCGGACCUCAUAAAGUGCGUCGUAGUCCGGAUUGGAGUCUGCAACUCGACUCCAUGAAGUCGGAAUCGCUAGUAAUCGUGGAUCAGAAUGCCACGGUGAAUACGUUCCCGGGCCUUGUACACACCGCCCGUCACACCAUGGGAGUGGGUUGCAAAAGAAGUAGGUAGCUUAACCUUCGGGAGGGCGCUUACCACUUUGUGAUUCAUGACUGGGGUGAAGUCGUAACAAGGUAACCGUAGGGGAACCUGCGGUUGGAUCACCUCCUUACCUGAAAGAA